Molecule: ribosomal RNA, 406 nt
Filed under: uncultured bacterium
Lineage: Bacteria
Description: partial 16S ribosomal RNA
Rfam family: Bacterial small subunit ribosomal RNA
Source: RNAcentral
GAAGAUUGUUGUCGGCAGGCCUAACACAUGCAAGUCGAGCGAGCGGCGGACGGGUGAGUAAUGUCUGGGAAACUGCCUGAUGGAGGGGGAUAACUACUGGAAACGGUAGCUAAUACCGCAUACCAUCAGAUGUGCCCAGAUGGGAUUAGCUAGUAGGUGGGGUAACGCUUCACCUAGGCGACGAUCCCUAGCUGGUCUGAGAGGAUGACCAGCGACACUGGAACUGAGACACGGUCCAGAGUCAUAUGGGAGGCAGCAGUGGGGAAUAUUGAUCAAUGGGCGCAAGCCUGAUGCAGCCAUGCCGCGUGUUUGAAGAAGGCCUUAGGGUUGUAAAGCACUUUCAGCAGGGAGGCGUUACCCGCAGACGAAGCACCGGCGAACUCCGUGCCAGCAGCCGCGGUAAUUC